Molecule: ribosomal RNA, 484 nt
Filed under: uncultured bacterium
Lineage: Bacteria
Description: partial 16S ribosomal RNA
Rfam family: Bacterial small subunit ribosomal RNA
Source: RNAcentral
AUUGAACGCUGGCGGCAGGCCUAACACAUGCAAGUCGAGCGGAUGAAGGGAGCUUGCUCCUGGAUUCAGCGGCGGACGGGUGAGUAAUGCCUAGGAAUCUGCCUGGUAGUGGGGGAUAACGUCCGGAAACGGGCGCUAAUACCGCAUACGUCCUGAGGGAGGAAGUGGGGGAUCUUCGGACCUCACGCUAUCAGAUGAGCCUAGGUCGGAUUAGCUAGUUGGUGGGGUAAAGGCCUACCAAGGCGACGACCCGUAACUGGUCUGAGAGGAUGAUCAGUCACACUGGAACUGAGACACGGUCCAGACUCCUACGGGAGGCAGCAGUGGGGAAUAUUGGACAAUGGGCGAAAGCCUGAUCCAGCCAUGCCGCGUGUGUGAAGAAGGUCUUCGGAUUGUAAAGCACUUUAAGUUGGGAGGAAGGGCAGUAAGUUAAUACCUUGCUGUUUUGACGUUACCAACAGAAUAAGCACCGGCUAACUUCGUG